RNAcentral lists this ribosomal RNA (497 nucleotides) under uncultured bacterium. RNAcentral's name for it is "partial 16S ribosomal RNA". It matches the Rfam family "Bacterial small subunit ribosomal RNA", at positions 28 to 507 of the family's 1533-position model. The record is from RNAcentral.
GACGAACGCUGGCGGCGUGCCUAAUACAUGCAAGUUGAGCGCUGAAGGUUGGUACUUGUACCGACUGGAUGAGCAGCGAACGGGUGAGUAACGCGUGGGGAAUCUGCCUUUGAGCGGGGGACAACAUUUGGAAACGAAUGCUAAUACCGCAUAAAAACUUUAAACACAAGUUUUAAGUUUGAAAGAUGCAAUUGCAUCACUCAAAGAUGAUCCCGCGUUGUAUUAGCUAGUUGGUGAGGUAAAGGCUCACCAAGGCGAUGAUACAUAGCCGACCUGAGAGGGUGAUCGGCCACAUUGGGACUGAGACACGGCCCAAACGCCUACGGGAGGCAGCAGUAGGGAAUCUUCGGCAAUAGACGAAAGUCUGACCGAGCAACGCCGCGUGAGUGAAGAAGGUUUUCGGAUCGUAAAACUCGGUUGGUAGAGAAGAACGUUGGUGAGAGUGGAAAGCUCAUCAAGUGACGGUAACUACCCAGAAAGGGACGGCUAACUACGUG